Molecule: ribosomal RNA, 478 nt
Filed under: uncultured bacterium
Lineage: Bacteria
Description: partial 16S ribosomal RNA
Rfam family: Bacterial small subunit ribosomal RNA
Source: RNAcentral
GACGAACGCUGGCGGCGUGCUUAACACAUGCAAGUCGAACGGUAAGGCCCUUCGGGGUACACGAGUGGCGAACGGGUGAGUAACACGUGGGUGAUCUGCCCUGCACUUCGGGAUAAGCCUGGGAAACUGGGUCUAAUACCGGAUAGGACCCUGGGAUGCAUGUCCUGGGGUGGAAAGCUUUUGCGGUGUGGGAUGGGCCCGCGGCCUAUCAGCUUGUUGGUGGGGUGAUGGCCGACCAAGGCGACGACGGGUAGCCGGCCUGAGAGGGUGACCGGCCACACUGGGACUGAGAUACGGCCCAGACUCCUACGGGAGGCAGCAGUGGGGAGAAUUGCACAAUGGGCGCAAGCCUGAUGCAGCGACGCCGCGUGAGGGAUGACGGCCUUCGGGUUGUAAACCUCUUUCAGCACCGACGAAGCGCAAGUGACGGUAGGUGCAGAAGAAGGACCGGCCAACUACGUGCCAGCCGCCGCGGUAA